RNAcentral lists this ribosomal RNA (305 nucleotides) under uncultured bacterium. Its description in RNAcentral is "bacterial SSU rRNA". It matches the Rfam family "Bacterial small subunit ribosomal RNA", at positions 338 to 642 of the family's 1533-position model. The record is from RNAcentral.
CCUACGGGAGGCAGCAGUGGGGAAUAUUGCACAAUGGGCGCAAGCCUGAUGCAGCGACGCCGCGUGAGGGAUGGAGGCCUUCGGGUUGUAAACCUCUUUUGUUCAAGGGCAAGGCACGGUCUUUGGCCGUGUUGAGAGGAUUGUUCGAAUAAGCACCGGCUAACUACGUGCCAGCAGCCGCGGUAAUACGUAGGGGGCAAGCUUUAUCCGGAUUUAUUGUGCGUAAAGGGCUCGUAGUCGGUUCGUCGCGUCCGGUGUGAAAGUCCAUCGCUUAACGGAGGAUCCUCGCCGGGUACGGGCGGGGG